Molecule: transfer RNA, 72 nt
Filed under: Nitzschia sp. PL1-4
Lineage: Eukaryota; Bacillariophyta; Bacillariophyceae; Bacillariales; Bacillariaceae
Description: tRNA-Gly
Rfam family: tRNA
About the family: Transfer RNA (tRNA) molecules are approximately 80 nucleotides in length. Their secondary structure includes four short double-helical elements and three loops (D, anti-codon, and T loops). Further hydrogen bonds mediate the characteristic L-shaped molecular structure. tRNAs have two regions of fundamental functional importance: the anti-codon, which is responsible for specific mRNA codon recognition, and the 3' end, to which the tRNAs corresponding amino acid is attached (by aminoacyl-tRNA synthetases). tRNAs cope with the degeneracy of the genetic code in two manners: having more than one tRNA (with a specific anti-codon) for a particular amino acid; and 'wobble' base-pairing, i.e. permitting non-standard base-pairing at the 3rd anti-codon position.
Source: RNAcentral
GCAAAUAUAAUUUAAUAGGUAAAAUAUUGGUCUUCCAAACCGGCUUUAAGAGUUCGAGUCUCUUUAUUUGCU